This 500-nucleotide ribosomal RNA is filed under the name uncultured bacterium. RNAcentral describes it as "partial 16S ribosomal RNA". It matches the Rfam family "Bacterial small subunit ribosomal RNA", at positions 30 to 523 of the family's 1533-position model. The record is from RNAcentral.
AUUGAACGCUGGCGGAAUGCUUUACACAUGCAAGUCGAACGGCAGCACGGACUUCGGUCUGGUGGCGAGUGGCGAACGGGUGAGUAAUGUAUCGGAACGUGCCCAGUCGUGGGGGAUAACGUAGUGAAAAUUACGCUAAUACCGCAUACGAUCUAUGGAUGAAAGCGGGGGAUCGCAAGACCUCGCGCGAUUGGAGCGGCCGAUAUCAGAUUAGGUAGUUGGUGGGGUAAAGGCCCACCAAGCCAACGAUCUGUAGCUGGUCUGAGAGGACGACCAGCCACACUGGAACUGAGACACGGUACAGACUCCUACGGGAGGCAGCAGUGGGGAAUUUUGGACAAUGGGCGAAAGCCUGAUCCAGCCAUUCCGCGUGCAGGAUGAAGGCCCUCGGGUUGUAAACUGCUUUUGUACAGAACGAAAAGGUUUCUACUAAUACUAGGAGCUCAUGGCGAGACUGUAAGAAUAAGCACCGGCUAACUACGUGCCAGCCGCCGCCGUAA